Molecule: ribosomal RNA, 483 nt
Filed under: uncultured bacterium
Lineage: Bacteria
Description: partial 16S ribosomal RNA
Rfam family: Bacterial small subunit ribosomal RNA
Source: RNAcentral
GACGAACGCUGGCGGCGUGCCUAACACAUGCAAGUCGAGCGGGGAUUUAAGUGGAAGUUCUUCGGAAUGGAGAUUUAAAUUCUAGCGGCGGACGGGUGAGUGACGCGUGAACAAUCUGUCCCGGACAGGGGGAUAACACUUGGAAACAGGUGCUAAUACCGCAUAAGACCACGGCCUCGCAUGGGGCUGAGGUAAAAGGAGCAAUCCGGUUCGGGGUGAGUUCGCGUCCGAUUAGCUAGUUGGUGAGGUAACGGCCCACCAAGGCGACGAUCGGUAGCCGGCCUGAGAGGGUGAACGGCCACAUUGGAACUGAGAGACGGUCCAAACUCCUACGGGAGGCAGCAGUGGGGAAUAUUGGGCAAUGGGCGAAAGCCUGACCCAGCAACGCCGCGUGAGGGAAGAAGGUUUUCGGAUUGUAAACCUCUGUCCUAUGGGACGAAGGAAGUGACGGUACCAUAGGAGGAAGCCCCGGCUAACUACGUG